UGGAGUCACUGAAGCAGUUGGUGUGAGCUUAAAUGGACUCCAGAAGAUGGUUGAGGACAGGAAGGCCUGGAGGAACGUUGUCCAUGGGAUCGCGAUGGGUCGGACACUAACAACAACAGCAAGAGUAGCUUUAGGAAAUGGCUACUAGCUUUCAGUUUCUCACUAGUAUCUCAUUUACUCAUUAAGACACUACCUGGGGGACCAUAGCUCCAGUCAUGAUCCAAUCCAUGAAUUAAGGUUCAAGGGAAAGGUUCUCCAAAAGAAGAUACUCAUCUUCUGGCAUUUCAGAGAUGGAUUUCUCCUGGAUUGCUUUCAAUUUAGCUCAAUUACAUAUUGAGUGGAAUACAUAUUGAGUACAUAUACGGGUGGAAACUAAUCAAGGAGAGAAGCAGCCUGGAACUAAGAAAAAAACUUCCUGACAGUUAGAACAAUUAACCAGUGGAACAACCUGCGGUAUUCCUUCACAGAAGUCCUGGUCUGUAGAACUUUGGCUUCAAGGGCGCUGAACAGAUUUCGAACAGAUUUAUAAACUGGCUGUUACCAUUCUGCACAACACAUGGACAAACUUACCAUAGUUUCAACUGGGAAAGUAGUCUUUUCCCAAAACCAUGUUGACUGAUUCAUUUCAAAAGAAGCAAUACACUGUAUGUCUAAGAAUCAGAAUAGAGCUGAAAAGGGACCUUGGAGGUCUUCUAGUCGAGCCCCCUGCUCAAGCAGGAGACCCUAUCAGACAAGUGGCUGUCCAGUCUCUUCUUAAAAACCUCCAGUGAUGGAG
Crotalus tigris (Tiger rattlesnake) is the source of this 775-nucleotide long non-coding RNA. RefSeq lists it as uncharacterized. NCBI's taxonomy places the organism in Eukaryota, Metazoa, Chordata, Lepidosauria, Squamata, Viperidae. The record is from RefSeq and is a predicted model, not a curated record. The transcript has 3 exons.